This 263-nucleotide unclassified non-coding RNA is filed under the name plant metagenome. RNAcentral describes it as "partial contains small subunit ribosomal RNA, internal transcribed spacer 1, and 5.8S ribosomal RNA". The record is from RNAcentral.
UUUCCGUAGGUGGACCUGCGGAAGGAUCAUUAUUGUAUAACCGAGGUGCGAGGGCUGUCGCUGACCCGAAAGGUCGUGCACGCCCGAGUGCCCUCACACACAUCCACCUCACCCCUAUGUGCACCACCGCGUGGGUCCCCCUUUGGCUUGUUCGGAGGGGGGCUUACGUUUUCACACAAACUUUGUAUGCAGUGUAGAAUGUAUUUUUUGUUUUUGCGAUCACGCAAUCAAUACAACUUUCAACAACGGAUCUCUUGGCUCUC